AAACCCCCCUCCCAUGUUUUUAGACAAUCUUCUAGCCCUAUCAAUGGUUUGAAGCCAGUUUCCAUAAUCUGGUGCCCUCUAGAUAUUUUGAACAGCCAUUUACAGCUUUCCUGACCAUCGGUUAUGGUAACAGGAAGGGAUCAGGUUGGGAAAGUCUGCCUAAAGAGCCCGGUGCUAUCUGUGCAAGUUUGUGCAGUGCUGGACCUUCUUUUUUGUCCAAACCUGCACAGGAUGGUGCCUUUAAGGAUUUCUGGCACCUGGGUGCCUGCUACCAGAGCUCUCUCUGCAAGUCAAGAGACACACAGGCGUUUGUCGUUUGCAGGCCAAGAGAGCUUCGUUCUCACAGCCACAGUCUAGGUCAACAGUGUGCAGGAAUAUAUUUAGCCCAGAACCACAGAGGGAAAAAAUGUAUUUACCAGUUUUGGAACACUGCACGCUAAGGAAUCAACCGAUUAGAGUAGGGCGAUUCACUGGCCUUUCCACCCCACAAAAUAACUCACUGGCUUGAAGGUGUCAAGGUCGUCUCAGUGUCUUAAUAUUUAUUUGUGUCUGGCGGGGGUUUCAGGCCUUGUUCACUGUCUGACCCUGUUGGGUUAAAAGGACAUGUGGACGAUCCGUGUCUGAUAUGACUACGCUCAGGGUGCAGGGUUUUGAAUCGCAGCUUUCCAAACCAUAAAAGACAAGAGCGGCAGAAUGACAGGCAGGUGUUUCCCUGCAUGUUGCCCAUCCCUGAGUGCCCUGCUACUGAAUGAGCACUCUAAGGUUGCCUGUGUGGGUGACUUGAAUUGGAGAGGAAAGGGAACCACCUUUAUUAGGGCUUUCAACAGCCAUUUGCACUCAGAGCAUCAAUCAAAGCAGUGGUUCCACACACCCGCUAUUCACCAAGAAGAGUCCAGAAAAAUGGCAGCUUUGGAAGACUCCCAAGCAAGUGGAACUCAGUGCCCUGUCUUCCUCCCCAGUUUGGGACCAGCAUUUCUCCAGUUUGUCUCCAACAUGGGGACUUUCUCCAGCCUUAACUUUGGUUCAGGUUUGGAUCCAGGAGCUGGAUCAAGGAAGGAGAAGGAAGGUACAACCGCUGGGAUUGCUUGCCCUAGAAAGAAGGCAAGUAAGGGGAGACACGGCACAGAUGUGCAGAAUUGGGGUGGAGAAAAGGAAAUUGGGGUGGAGAAAGUUGGGAUGGAGAAAAGGAAGUGAAAGACAUUCCUCUCCCUCACUGUGAUACCCAGAUGGGUCAUCCCAUGAUGGGUGGGAGAUUCAGGACAGAUAAAAGCGAAGCCCUCUUCACAUAGCACACAGUUAAACUCAAAUUCUGUUUGUGGGAUCCUGCAGGCAGCUGUGUGAAUGCAGUGCUGGACUAGACGGACCCCGGAUCUCACCCAGCUGGGCUGUUCUUGCAUUCAUCUCAAAUGAUGAGAAUUUUUUUAGCUUGCUUAAAAAUGCGUAUUUUUCUGUGCCCAUAUUGCCUAAUAGACAUAUGUGUGCAUGCAGUUGCCUUUACAGAAUGAACACUAGAACAUUUUGAACAUCAUUUCCCCUAACACCCAUUCUAAAAGGCAUUUUUAAUUGAAGAACUUCACAGAGAUAUUCAGAGAAGUAUGUCCUUCAAAGGAUAUUGGAGUAUUGGUUCAUAAAGUACCACUUAGGCUCCAAAAGUGCAAAGUAAGGAAGUGAAAAAUUAGGUCAUUCUAUUGAAUUGCAUUAAAAUGGGGACGGGAUAAAUUUCUCCCCAUUUUUUCCUCCCUCAGCAAGUCUCCCUUCACAAGGUUGUCACCAGCUACUUUUGGGCCUCUUUCUUCCCCUCCCUGCUUCUCAGGAGCUGGGUUCCCUCCUCCUUCCUUUCAAACAACAGACAGGUCUUUUGCACAAGAAUGCUUUAUUCCAACGUACAGCCAGCAAACUCUAGCCAGCAGAGGACGAGUCUUCAUCAAACCCAAACUAGAAACUACUUCCAUGUUCCCCCUUUUCAGCAAUCCUGGGCUUCACCCUUCUGGCUGUGCCCCUCUGAAAAAGGGCUGGCCAAAAGAAAGGGCCAGCCCUUUAACUGGGCUUUCUCAGUGCCGCUUCAGGGGCUCUUGGACUCGCCACGUUCCUUUCCCAUGUCCCCUCCCUGCUCUUCCGGACCCUGUUUGUCAGAACACCUGGAGAUGGCGGCCUUGAGAUAAUCUCGCCCUCCUCUGUCGCCACAGGAUCUGCAUUCCUUGUUUCCCAGCUGUCACUGUCCUCAUCCGAAGAGUCGCGGUCGCCGAAAGCAACUGUCUGUCAUUUGCAACACUGGCUUGCAGAGUGCCAGGGAACGAGUGACAAGCUGCACCCCCUUCUCCUCACCCCUCAGACCUGGGCAGGAAAACAUCCUGGUUCCAUCGGGAAAGGGGCUUCAGAUAGCGGGCUCCUCAUGGGGCCAUGGGUUCGCAUCCUAAGUCUCGAUUCUGCCCCCGAGCCAGAACUACCCAGAAGCAAAAAAGCUCUCGGAGUAGCUGACACAUAAUUGGCAAAAUACAGCAGUCUUUUUCUACAAUAUUACAAUCCAAAAAGGCAAGGGAAUAAAGAGGAAUGGAGAGGCAAGAGGGAUGUGGAAGAAGCAAACAAGGAGACGAGUAGCGAGAAGGGCUCGGCUGGGCUGACGGGGCCAACCAGGUCACCCAGGUGUAACUCGGGGCGACCCAGUGAGAUGGCCUGUGGAGAAGAUUGCUCAGUUUUCUCUUCCUAGUGGAACUAAGACUGCUCAUCACAGACACCCAGAAUGGAGGAUCCUGCAUGUGGAAGAGCAAAGAUGUUCAAAUGAUCCUUUUCCAGUUGUGCUACUCACAAAUGAGAUUUAAAAAAAAAGCUGCUCUGUUGAUCUGGCAUUAGCGGCAUGGUUUCAGGAUGUAGCGCUUCAUGACAUACAUGAAUACCAUUUAAUCAAAUGUACUUUGUAUCAGGCUGUAACUUGAGAGUCAGGUGUGGCUGGCAGGUAAUGCAGCAAGAGUUACGAUGUGCUACGCAUCCCCAGGGGGGGAAAACACUAUUUUUCUUUGGUGAUUUCUCCCCAACAGAGAAACAACAUAAGAUGCUUGUGUAGAUCAUUAAGAAAAAAAGCCCUGUUAUCACAGGUGCUCACCUUUUUUACUUGCCAACAUAAAUAAAUAAUGUUGGAAAGAGUGUCCCAGAAAUUG
Molecule: long non-coding RNA, 3155 nt
Organism: Varanus komodoensis (Komodo dragon)
Lineage: Eukaryota; Metazoa; Chordata; Lepidosauria; Squamata; Varanidae
Exons: 2
Source: RefSeq, a predicted model, not a curated record